UAGGGAAUCUUCCGCAAUGGACGCAAGUCUGACGGAGCAACGCCGCGUGAGUGAAGAAGGAUUUCGGUUCGUAAAACUCUGUUGUUAGAGAAGAACAGCGCAUAGAGUAACUGUUAUGCGUGUGACGGUAUCUAACCAGAAAGCCACGGCUAACUACGUGCCAGCAGCCGCGGUAAUACGUAGGUGGCAAGCGUUGUCCGGAUUUAUUGGGCGUAAAGCGAGCGCAGGCGGUCAAUUAAGUCUGAUGUGAAAGCCCCCGGCUCAACCGGGGAGGGUCAUUGGAAACUGGUUGACUUGAGUGCAGAAGAGGAGAGUGGAAUUCCAUGUGUAGCGGUGAAAUGCGUAGAUAUAUGGAGGAACACCGGUGGCGAGAGCGGCUCUCUGGUCUGUAACUGACGCUGAGGCUCGAAAGCGUGGGGAGCGAACAGG
RNAcentral lists this ribosomal RNA (429 nucleotides) under Bacteroidota bacterium. RNAcentral describes it as "Bacteroidetes bacterium partial 16S ribosomal RNA". It matches the Rfam family "Bacterial small subunit ribosomal RNA", at positions 355 to 776 of the family's 1533-position model. The record is from RNAcentral. Lineage: Bacteria; Pseudomonadati; Bacteroidota.